RNAcentral lists this transfer RNA (73 nucleotides) under Medicago truncatula (barrel medic). RNAcentral's name for it is "tRNA-OTHER". The record is from RNAcentral. Lineage: Eukaryota; Viridiplantae; Streptophyta; Magnoliopsida; Fabales; Fabaceae.
UUGAGCAUAGCUCAGUUGGUAAGGACAAUGUAUUAUUAUAUGCAGGGGUCGGGGUUCGAACCCCAGUUUUAAC